GGCUACGGCCACACCACCCUGAAUGUGUCUGACUUAGUCUGAUCUCGGAAGCUAAACAGGUCUUUCCUGGUUAGCACUUGGGUGGGAGAAAUCCCCACAUGGGGUCUUGUGGCUGAGUUC
RNAcentral lists this ribosomal RNA (120 nucleotides) under Chinchilla lanigera (long-tailed chinchilla). Lineage: Eukaryota; Metazoa; Chordata; Mammalia; Rodentia; Chinchillidae. The record is from RNAcentral.